RNAcentral lists this ribosomal RNA (550 nucleotides) under Austrocochlea porcata. RNAcentral's name for it is "partial 16S ribosomal RNA". It matches the Rfam family "Bacterial large subunit ribosomal RNA", at positions 1845 to 2609 of the family's 2925-position model. Lineage: Eukaryota; Metazoa; Mollusca; Gastropoda; Trochida; Trochidae. The record is from RNAcentral.
AUAGGGAGUCGGACCUGCCCAGUGACUAAGUGUUAAACGGCCGCGGUACCCUAACCGUGCAAAGGUAGCAUAAUCAUUUGCCUUUUAAUUGUAGGCUUGUAUGAAUGGUUUGACGAGAGCUAAGCUGUCUCUUUCUUAAUAUUUAAAAAUUAACUUUUAGGUGAAGAGGCCUAAAUAAAACUAAGGGACGAGAAGACCCUAUUGAGCUUUAGUGAAGCAAUAAGUUUUGAGUGUAAUUAAAUUUACGAACUGUUAUAUAUUUAUAGAGUUUUAUUUUGUUGUGAAUCUUUAGUUGGGGCGACUGAGGAACAAAAAAAGCUUCCUUUGUAUUAUAAGAUUUUGAUUUAUUUGAUAUGAUGUUAGCUAGCUAUUUGAUCCAGUAUUUAUUGAUUAAGGGAAAAAGUUACCAUAGGGAUAACAGCGUAAUCUUUCUGGAGAGAUCAUAUCGAAAGGAGGGUUUGCGACCUCGAUGUUGGACUAAGAUAUCCUAAAGGUGUAGAAGCUUUUAAAGGUUGGUCUGUUCGACCAUUAAAAUCUUACGUGAUCUGAG